Non-coding RNA from Dipodomys ordii (Ord's kangaroo rat), 66 nucleotides. NCBI's taxonomy places the organism in Eukaryota, Metazoa, Chordata, Mammalia, Rodentia, Heteromyidae. The record is from Rfam.
GGUGGCUUAGUGGUAGAGUGCUUGCCUUGCAUGCAUGAGGCCCUGGGUUCAAUUUCCUCAGCACCA